AAAAGACCUUCAACUGGUGUGAGUUCUGGAUCCUUCUUUCGCUUCGGGACUGCUGUGCAAGCGGUGUCUUCUGUCUCGUGUCUCUGUUGAGCAAAAUGGAAAUUCCUUGAAGCCUUCAGAGAGCAUUCAUCUGGCCAAGUUAAUGUUAUAUAUAUUGGUCAUGAGUUUGAUGCCCCCUUUGCCAUGAGUUUCUCGCAUCUGCUACAAGGAAGGAGAAACGCUUGCUUUAGCUGUGGUGUUGGAUCGUCAAGUGUUUGUUUUGAGCAAGGCAAUAUAUUAGGACCGCAGUGAAUAUUGCAUAUUACUGUGACUAACCGUACAUUGUAACAACCACGUAAACAACAAGUAUACGACUGUAGUGUUGUAACCCAGAGGUGAAAACUGUUUUUGGAUGAAUAAAUGUUCAGCUAAAUAAAGAGGAAAAAAAUCUUUAAAGAAAGCUGUCGUCCCCCCCACGGUUUCUUUUCAAGCAUGAGAAUAAUUGUCAAAUAUAGUGAUGUUCAUAGCAACUAGCUGGCUGUACGUUAUCCUGCUUAUUACAUGACUCUUUGACUCCCAA
RNAcentral lists this long non-coding RNA (559 nucleotides) under Sinocyclocheilus grahami. Its description in RNAcentral is "lncRNA (ENSSGRG00000020607.1)". The record is from RNAcentral. Lineage: Eukaryota; Metazoa; Chordata; Actinopteri; Cypriniformes; Cyprinidae.